Molecule: ribosomal RNA, 492 nt
Filed under: uncultured bacterium
Lineage: Bacteria
Description: partial 16S ribosomal RNA
Rfam family: Bacterial small subunit ribosomal RNA
Source: RNAcentral
AGUGAACGCUGGCGGUAGGCCUAACACGUGCAAGUCGAACGGCAGCACAGUAAGAGCUUGCUCUUACGGGUGGCGAGUGGCGGACGGGUGGGGAAUACAUCGGAAUCUACUUUUUCGUGGGGGAUAACGUAGGGAAACUUACGCUAAUACCGCAUACGACCUACGGGUGAAAGCAGGGGAUCUUCGGACCUUGCGCGAUUGAAUGAGCCGAUGUCGGAUUAGCUAGUUGGCGGGGUAAAGGCCCACCAAGGCGACGAUCCGUAGCUGGUCUGAGAGGAUGAUCAGCCACACUGGAACUGAGACACGGUCCAGACUCCUACGGGAGGCAGCAGUGGGGAAUAUUGGACAAUGGGCGCAAGCCUGAUCCAGCCAUACCGCGUGGGUGAAGAAGGCCUUCGGGUUGUAAAGCCCUUUUGUUGGGAAAGAAAAGCAGCAGGUUAAUACCCCGCUGUUCUGACGGUACCCAAAGAAUAAGCACCGGCUAACUUCGUG